CAGCCAGACUAUACAUCCGUGGGGCUGACACACGAUCUAGACACAUGUCCAUGUGUCUACUCGUGUGGACAAAUUUUGAGGCUAAUUUCCAAGCCCUCUUGUCACCCAGAACAACACUAACACACUCACAUGCUAAUGGUGAUAAAUUAAGCAAUUUUUGGGUUACUUAGACCUCUAAAACUUUAUGUCAUGCAUGACAUUCACAUAUCAAAGUAUACAUAUUUAAAACUCCCCACUAGACAAG
This 244-nucleotide long non-coding RNA is filed under the name Gossypium barbadense (sea-island cotton). RNAcentral describes it as "long non-coding RNA (GBAR_LNC004412)". Lineage: Eukaryota; Viridiplantae; Streptophyta; Magnoliopsida; Malvales; Malvaceae. The record is from RNAcentral.